This 489-nucleotide ribosomal RNA is filed under the name uncultured bacterium. RNAcentral describes it as "partial 16S ribosomal RNA". It matches the Rfam family "Bacterial small subunit ribosomal RNA", at positions 28 to 523 of the family's 1533-position model. The record is from RNAcentral.
GACGAACGCUGGCGGCGUGCCUAACACAUGCAAGUCGAGCGCGCAGCCAUCGGUAGCAAUACCGGUGGUGGGCGAGCGGCGAACGGGUGCGUAACACGUGGGCAACCUGCCCAGACUCUGGGAUAACCCCGGGAAACCGGGGCUAAUACCGGAUACUCUCGGCCGGCCGCAUGAUCGGCCGAGGAAAGCUCCGACGGUCUGGGAUGGGCCCGCGGCCUAUCAGCUUGUUGGUGGGGUAACGGCCUACCAAGGCGACGACGGGUAGCUGGUCUGAGAGGACGGCCAGCCACACUGGGACUGAGAAACGGCCCAGACUCCUACGGGAGGCAGCAGUGGGGAAUCUUGCGCAAUGGGCGAAAGCCUGACGCAGCGACGCCGCGUGAGGGAUGAAGGUCUUCGGGUUGUAAACCUCUUUCGGCAGGGACGAAGCGAAAGUGAUGGUACCUGCAGAAGAAGCCCCGGCUAACUACGUGCCAGCCGCCGCCGUAA